RNAcentral lists this ribosomal RNA (406 nucleotides) under uncultured bacterium. Its description in RNAcentral is "partial 16S ribosomal RNA". It matches the Rfam family "Bacterial small subunit ribosomal RNA", at positions 30 to 526 of the family's 1533-position model. The record is from RNAcentral.
AUUGAACGCUGGCGGCAGGCCUAACACAUGCAAGUCGACCGAGUGGCGGACGGGUGGGUAAUGUCUGGGAAAAUGCCCGAUGGAGGGGGAUAACUACUGGAAACGGUAGCUAAUACCGAAUAACCUCGAAUGUGGCCAUAUGGGAUUAGCUAGUAGGUGGGGUAAUGGCGCACCUAGGCGACGAGCCAUAGCUGGUCUGAGAGGAGGACCAGCCACACUGGAACUGAGACACGGUCCAGACUCCUACGGGAGGCAGCAGUGGGGAAGAUUGCACAAUGGGCGCAAGCCUGAUGCAGCCAUGCCGCGUGUAUGAAGAAGGCCUUCGGGUUGUAAAGUACUUUCAGCGAGGAGGCGUUACUCGCAGAAGAAGCACCGGCUAACUCCGUGCCAGCAGCCGCGGUAAUUC